CUCACAUUAUUUCUUUACUUUAAAUCAUCAGACUUAGUAGGUAACCCCAUUGUGUGAUUAGAUGGGGAAUUUGUCUUUUGACUGCAUUUUUUCCCUUCCUUGGUUAAAACCAGGAAAUGAAACAACAAAACAGCGAAACCAGGAAGACUAGUGCCAUGGAACAACUACUAUCUCAUCUUACAGCAAAACUUACAAGCUUGACUUUUGUUAUGUCAACAUGAUGAAUUGCCAUUACUCACUCUCUCUCUCCCUCUCCCCUUUAUACAACAUGCACAUACAUAAAAAAUGUAGUUAAUAAGAGAAAGAACCUGGUAAAUUUUCUUGUAUGGGUGAUAUUGUUCCCACACCUGUGCUACUAGAGUUGCAAAGUUCCAUAUUAGCAGUUGCUUUAAAGCUGAAAGUAAGCUUGUCCUAUGAAUGUAUGGGGCCACACAACCACAAGGAUUUUUGUUUUCUUUUUUGUUUGCAGCAGACCUACUUUUAAAACUGAUUAAAGGAGUUGCUGGUGUUUGUUUGUUUGUUUGUUUCUGUACAAGUGGUUGUUAUUUAAGGAACUAAAAUCCAAAGCCCCUUUGGCUUGCAGAACCAGUUGGGUCCUUCUGUGGGUUAGUUAAUUACAUUAAAAGGAAACAGACCUAUAGGAUAAAGACAGUAUUUCAAAAUUAUUGUUAUUUGACUUAAGAAAUUACAAUUAGGGGAACUAUUUUUUAAAAAAAUUAAUUGUGGGGCUUAGGUAAGUCCUUAGGCACACUACAAUGCCACUGCUGAUAUUGCAGAUAGCCAAGGCAUAUUAUGCUACAAAGCACACUCCUACAGAGGCAGUUUUAGGAUAGUGUGACUGGUUUGGCCACACUGGCAAAUUGUGAUCUGCAAAUUUCAGUUGACAAUGUAACACCAGGUUUAUAACCAAAUAAAUCAGCUGCCACGCUAAGCAAUUCUCACAAACAAUACAUACAUACAAAUAUGAGCCACUGAUCCUCUACUCUUAUCCCACUGAUAUACUUCAGUAUUCUUUUAUUAGAUAAGUGGUCCAAAGUUUCUAUUCAAAGACAUGUUACAGUGAAAUAUUUUACGUUGUCAUGUUAAUAAAGGAAAUACAGCAGUGCUGAUUUCUUGCUUGUAGAUUUAAGAUUCUGAUACAAAUAAUAAAUAGUAUUUUUAAUCAGCACAAAGUCUAAAAUGAUUUUAAAUCCUGGGUUUUUUCCAGCCAAAAAUUAUCAUAAUACCUAGGUGUGCAAGUUACAUGACAAGUUAUUUUUCAGUCACUGUGAGGUUUGAAAUCAGGCCCUAUCAGAGGUGCCAACCCUUCAUUCAAUCAGUCAUAGAAAUGUGGUUUACUAGAAAAUAAUAAUAAUGAAAAACUGUAAUUCUAAAGGCACAAAAUCGCAUAGCUGCUCUAACAGGAAUUUGUAAACAGAGAAUUGGCUGAAUUUAAAAAUUCAU
This is a non-coding RNA of Podarcis lilfordi (Lilford's wall lizard), 1443 nucleotides long. Lineage: Eukaryota; Metazoa; Chordata; Lepidosauria; Squamata; Lacertidae. The record is from the annotation of a GenBank genome assembly.